Long non-coding RNA from Siniperca chuatsi (mandarin fish), 1960 nucleotides. RefSeq lists it as uncharacterized. The record is from RefSeq and is a predicted model, not a curated record. The transcript has 4 exons. Lineage: Eukaryota; Metazoa; Chordata; Actinopteri; Centrarchiformes; Sinipercidae.
GCCGUUUGGUGCACUUUUUGUUGUACCUGGUUCCCGUGCCCAGUUCCCCGGCAUUCUUACCGUGAGUUCUGUUUUGGAUUCUUUGUCUCCCUUGGACCGUGUCUGGAUUCUGGAUUUUGAAUUUUGCCUGCUUCCUGUUGGACUUGGUUAGCCUCAUUCGACUCACUUUGUUGUUUCCACCACUGCCAGCCGGCUUCUUCACCCUCGUACUGCUUCCUGGUCAUCUGCAUUUGGGUCCACGUACUGCACCCCAUAUAACAGUUUUGGGAGGUUUUUCUCGAUAAUGACAGAACUGGAGCCAUGAUAUAAAAUUCCAAGUUGCAUCACAAUCUCAAGACAAACAGUUGUAUGAGGGGAAAAAUAUACUCUACACCGAAAGCUAGCCCCGGGCGAUCUCCGUGCUGAUGCCGCCUCUCCAGUAUGGCAGGCUGGCAGAGGGAAACCCCUGGAGUGCAGAUGGACUGCUGCCUAACAUGCUGCCUCAGCAACAGCCUCCUCCAGCCAUCAAGAGUUCCCAUGCAGGAAUCUCACCGUCCCCGUCCCCAUCCUGCAGCAUCCCAUCAAUUACCACUUUGAAAUGAAAUAUUGAUGCUUCGAGUUAUCAAAAAAACACUGCAUUCCUCCGCUUCCUUGCCGAGACUCCUGUCCACUCCAAACGGGGGGCGAGCUGACUGCCGUCUACUGUAACGUAGGACAUGCACAGCCACCACUCAUCUGCAGAUGGGGGCGAGAGGGAGCCAGAAAGAGGGAGAGAGCGAGAGAAAGAGAGAAUUUUCUGCAUUUUCGAUCAUGAAGCAUCUUGUUGGACCAUGAAGUCACGGCUUUGGCUCAGAGAAAGGCUGGGGUGGGCUAUCCGGGGAGGUGGCGGAGGAUGAGGAGGAUGUUUUCUAGCUGCCAUUUCACUCAGACACCGUUGUUUGAGUGAGGAGAACAUGGCAAAAGGGAAAAACAUCUGUUAGCAACCUUUCCUGGCCUUGUUUUCCCUGGGGUUUGGCAGCUCUAGCAUAGCUGCAACUGUCUGUCUAUUUGAGCAACGCUGCCAGUUAUUCUACUGAAAGAAAACACACCUUUUGUUAACUCCCUAUAUAGAGAGGCUGAUUGGAAAAUCAGUAUAUUGAUUUGUUUUGAUAAGUGGGGAAGGGGACAGUGAAGAAAGAAAAAACAACAACAAAAACAAAAUUAUAAUAAAAUUGAUCAUUGUGUCUAACAAAGUCAUUUGUUAGACACAAGUGUUACUUUCUGUGUUAUUACUGCACUAAGCCUAACCCUGAAAAGGACAUUUUAUGUAACUGAUAGAGAAGAUAAGGAUGUAUUUAGAUCUUUAACAACAAACUACAAUAAACUGAAUACAGCACGUAAAGACUUUAACACUCCAAAAUAGUUUUCGUCACCCAAAAUCAAUGGAUUUCUCAAGGAUCUAUGGAAGUGGAAAAAAAUGAAAAGUCCACUUAACAUUAAAUUUCUCAAUUUACUUUCGUCUGUCUUGGUUUGUCAGAUUGUGUCUCUUUUGGUUUUACCUCUGUCUUGUGUAAUGUGAUGCUAUUUUGUAUUUGUCGGGUUAAAUUGCUUACACUGAUUGCCUGCUUAACAGUUUUGUAUUAACUGUUUGCAUUACUUCCUACGUCUUGCCUCGCCCCUUUUAGGUUUUUAUUCUCCGUUCGGCUGCAUCAUGUUUUGCUUUCUUCUCUUCUGAUUUUAAAUGUUGUUUGUUUUAUUGUUGUUUUAUUGGCUAAACUAACAUCCAGCCAAGGGACAACCGCUGAAGAUACAGCUGACACUGGCACGUUUACUGUGAUGUUGAUUAAUGUGCAUUGUCCCUGUAAAAAUGUAUAAAUAAAUGUGUGGCAGACAAUGCGCAAUUUAAACUCGAAAAAGACAUCGCACAGUGGAUUUUUGCAUUUAAAUUUGUGUUCUGUCCUGGUUUUAGGUCAUUUCUAAUUAAAAUAAAAUGUAAAUGGUC